RNAcentral lists this non-coding RNA (210 nucleotides) under Psychrobacillus sp. Its description in RNAcentral is "T-box sequence". It matches the Rfam family "T-box leader". From Rfam's summary of the family: Uncharged tRNA acts as the effector for transcription antitermination of genes in the T-box leader family. The record is from RNAcentral. Lineage: Bacteria; Bacillati; Bacillota; Bacilli; Caryophanales; Bacillaceae.
AGCAAAUCGAUGAUAGAGAAAGUACUCUUGUUUACUGUAAAGAGAAAGAUUCCUUGGCUGAAAGAAUCUUCAGAUCCUAACAAGUAGGAAAGCUACUCUUGAGUGCAGUCAAAACCUGCCGUAUAGCCGCGUUAAGGUUACUGAGAGACACAAUAAUUUUGUAUUGUGUAACUAGGGUGGUACCGCGAAAUUAUAGCUUUCGUCCCUUUU